RNAcentral lists this small nuclear RNA (124 nucleotides) under Helobdella robusta. Its description in RNAcentral is "U2 spliceosomal RNA". It matches the Rfam family "U2 spliceosomal RNA", at positions 1 to 123 of the family's 192-position model. Rfam says of the family: U2 is a small nuclear RNA (snRNA) component of the spliceosome (involved in pre-mRNA splicing). Complementary binding between U2 snRNA (in an area lying towards the 5' end but 3' to hairpin I) and the branchpoint sequence (BPS) of the intron results the bulging out of an unpaired adenosine, on the BPS, which initiates a nucleophilic attack at the intronic 5' splice site, thus starting the first of two transesterification reactions that mediate splicing. The record is from Rfam by way of RNAcentral. Lineage: Eukaryota; Metazoa; Annelida; Clitellata; Rhynchobdellida; Glossiphoniidae.
AUCGCUUCUCGGCCUUUUGGCUAAGAUCAAAGUGUAGUAUCUGUUCUUAUCAGCUUAAUAUCUGAUACGCCCUCCAUCGGGGGGCAUCCAUAUUAAACUACUGUUUGGAAGCAGGAGACUGUCU